Molecule: ribosomal RNA, 253 nt
Filed under: uncultured bacterium
Lineage: Bacteria
Description: partial 16S ribosomal RNA
Rfam family: Bacterial small subunit ribosomal RNA
Source: RNAcentral
UACGUAGGGGGCUAGCGUUGUCCGGAAUCAUUGGGCGUAAAGCGCGUGUAGGCGGUCCGGUAAGUCCGCUGUGAAAGUCCAGGGCUCAACCCUGGAAUGCCAGUGGAAACUGUCGGGCUGGAGUCCGGAAGAGGCGAGUGGAAUUCCUGGUGUAGCGGUGAAAUGCGCAGAUAUCAGGAGGAACACCAAUGGCGAAGGCAGCUCGCUGGGACGGUACUGACGCUGAGACGCGAAAGCGUGGGGAGCAAACAGG